This 551-nucleotide ribosomal RNA is filed under the name uncultured bacterium. RNAcentral describes it as "bacterial SSU rRNA". It matches the Rfam family "Archaeal small subunit ribosomal RNA", at positions 723 to 1270 of the family's 1478-position model. The record is from RNAcentral.
ACGGAAUAGAUACCCUGGUAGUCCCAGCCGUAAACGAUGCUCGCUAGGUGUCAGGCAUGGCGCGACCGUGUCUGGUGCCGCAGGGGAAGCCGUGAAGCGAGCCACCUGGGGAAGUACGGCCGCAAGGCUGAAACUUAAAGGAAUUGGCGGGGGAGCACAACAACGGGUGGAGCCUGCGGUUUAAUUGGACUCAACGCCGGACAACUCACCGGGGACGACAGCAAAAUGUAGGCCAGGCUGAAGACCUUGCCUGAAUCGCUGAGAGGAGGUGCAUGGCCGUCGCCAGUUCGUACUGUGAAGCAUCCUGUUAAGUCAGGCAACGAGCGAGACCCGUGCCCACUGUUACCAGCAUGUCCUCCGGGAUGAUGGGUACACUGUGGGGACCGCCGGUGUUAAAUCGGAGGAAGGUGCGGGCUACGGUAGGUCAGUAUGCCCCGGAAUUUCCCGGGGCUACACGCGGGCUACAAUGAAUGGGACAAUGGGCCCUCCCUGAAAAGGGUCUGGUAAUCUCACAAACCCGAUCCUUAGUUCGGAUCGAGGGCUGUAACUCG